UUCCCUGUAGUUCAGUUGGUAGAGCAUGGUGUUUGCAACGCCAGGGUUGUGGGUUCGAUUACCACGGGGGGAC
Molecule: non-coding RNA, 73 nt
Organism: Salmo salar (Atlantic salmon)
Lineage: Eukaryota; Metazoa; Chordata; Actinopteri; Salmoniformes; Salmonidae
Source: Rfam